Molecule: long non-coding RNA, 4287 nt
Organism: Esox lucius (northern pike)
Lineage: Eukaryota; Metazoa; Chordata; Actinopteri; Esociformes; Esocidae
Exons: 4
Source: RefSeq, a predicted model, not a curated record
ACCAACCACACUCUCCAGACAACCCCUAAGUGUGUGUGUGUGUGCGUGUGUGUGUCAGGGAGUGACAGAGUGUUUUUCUCUGAGUAGAAGGAAUGGAGUAAGAAAAAGACGUGUGUAUUUGCACCCUGUGCUUGUGAAUAGUAACACAGAACCCCUUCCACUUGACCGAGGAACCUGGAAGUGGAAAGUUUAGAACUGCGAAAAGUCACAGGACAAGUGGGUCACCAUGCCUUGUCGGUGGAGGGGGCUGCUGGCCAGCUUGCUCUGCAUAUCCACGGCAACAACGCCAUGCCUUGGCCAGAGUGGUGAAGGCGGAGACUGGGGCUCAGGCUUUGAUGUCUCCAUGACAACUCUUGGCGCCGUCUUCAACACGUCUUCCUCUCAGGAGUAUGGAGAUGAACCUGAGGGAUCACAACAAGGAUCCUGGGCAAAAACGCCAUUACCAACUUCACAAGCUCCACCCUCACCGACGCCGGUGUUCCAAGACAAGCCCGAGGUGGACGAGUGCUCUGUCCGUUUCAGGUAAAGCCCGGGUUGGACGAGUGCUCUGUCCGUUUCAGGUAAAGCCCGGGUUGGACGAGUGCUCUGUCCGUUUCAGGUACAGCCCGGGUUGGACGAGUGCUCUGUCCGUUUCAGGUACAGCCCGAGGUGGACGAGUGCUCUGUCCAUUUCAGGUACAGCCCGGGUUGGACGAGUGCUCUGUCCGUUUCAGGUACAGCCCGAGGUGGACGAGUGCUCUGUCCAUUUCAGGUACAGCCCGGGUUGGACGAGUGCUCUGUCCGUUUCAGGUACAGUCCGACGCAUCUGAAUGAACUGUGGUCCAACCAAUCAUCAUAGAAGUCACUAAAUUAGUUCAUAGAGUUCAUCUGUGUCCAAUUCAAGUGAUUCACAGGUAUUUCAGGUUGAAUACACCUGUCUCUGGGAGGUCGCACAGUUGGUUUAACUAUCCUAAUGAAAACUACAAAACAUCAUAAAGAAGGUUUUUCAUGAAGACCAGUCAGAAGUAGGAUAUAAGUACAUUUCCAGAGCAUUGUAUAGCUUCUUGUUUGGGGUAGUUGUAUCUCCAUAUCUGGGUAAUAUUAUUUUUCUCUUGUAUAAACCCCCUGCCAUAAAGAAAUCAUUCCACUCAGCAACGUCUUGAUUUCAGCCAGACAUUGACUGUCUAGAGAGAGGAUCUGUGGAAAGCAUGUCCUCUCAUUACCUAAUAAAUGUCAAUAGUAAUGAACAUGUUCAGCACCCGCCAGGCCUCAGCCAGGCAACUCAAGGUCCAGAGACAGAACCUGUCUCACCUGAAGGCCAUCCAGCAUGGGAACCAGGCCGUGUGUGAGAACCUUGUCCAAUACGUUGGAGCAGAGCUACAGACGAGGAGAGCUAUGAGGACAUCAUCAAAGAGAAUAUAGCUGGCAUCAGGGAGGAGCACCAGGGUUGUGAUCGGGUGGUGCAGAAGGUGGUGCAGGACCUGGAAGCUGAGCUGGAAGGAGACUUACUGGAGGCCCUGGCUGGAAUACAGAGAAUCAAAGAGAGGUCCCUGGUGUUCGAAGAUCUCCUCCAGGCAGCAGCAGUCAUUGCCGCAAGGCUGGAUACCUCAUCUCAGGCUCUUCACACUUCCUUCACCAAGCAGCUCAAAGACUCCCUGAAAACAUUGCAUCACUAAAGAGAAUACCAUAACUAUACAAGAAGAAAACCUGGUCCCAGAUUUGUUCAUAAAAGAUGGCUGAAGUAGAAAGCACAAACGUCUCUGGGAUCAGGAGCUGAGGAUAACUCUCUCUGGAUUUUUACUUCCCCCCUCUGUCCACCCUGCAGCAGCAGAAAGACUUAUAACAUCUGUGUCUAUUGUCAAAACAUACAAUGCUUUCUGGAAAGAGGAGUCUGCAGCCUUCUAUAAAACAGUUAACCGGUCUUUCAGCCAGUUGUUUCGUCUCUGCUAAGCUACAGACAACAGGCAUUGAAGGACCACUUCCCUUGAAAUCACUGAAAGCUGAUGUCCUGACUGACCUACUUCUAUUGACCUGUCUUAUGUACUUCUAAUGACCUGUCGUAUGUACUUCUGAUGUUCUGUCUGAUGUUCUGUCUGAGGUUCUGUCUCAUGUUCUGUUUGAUGUUCUGUCUGAUGUUCAGUCUAAUGUUCAGUCUGAUGUUCUGUCUGAUAUUUUUUUUUAAUGUUCUACCUUAAGUUCUGUCUGACGUUCCACCUGGCGUUCUGUCUGAUGUUCUGUUUGAUGUUCUAUCUGCGUUAUCAAAUGGCAUCAUCCACGCUCAACUGUUGCCAUAGUUGUAUUUUUGAUGGCUGAUACACAGUGUUUACUGCAUCCUGUUAUUUGAAAUAACAAGCGGUAGGUGUGGUUGUUGUGACAGGUGAAAGGUUACACUGAGCCAGUGCUGAUAGCAGCCUGGACCAGUCAUGGUAGAGUAGAUAAGAUUAAACUGUAUUAUCGUUGAACACGUAGAAGUACAGUAGAACAAAAUGCAGUUAGGAGCCAACCAUAAGUGCAAACAGAAGAGGGAACCGGGUAAUUAAACAGUCAGUGAGCUGACUGACCUGUGGGAGGGUUGGACUACAUGAAUCUUAUCAAGAGUCAAUCUACUGCUCUGUUAACACCACCUGGUUACUGGAGUAGAGAAACUCAAUGCCAGCAUAGACUCUUUGUAUAAUAAUGGCCCAGAAAUUAGAACUGCUGCUCUUAGGGUUAGGUUAGGAUAGCUAAGCCUAACCCUAAACCUAACCUUAACCCUAACCCACACCAGAUGUUUCCAUCCAAUUGCUGUUAUUUCUGGAAGAUGUUUGAAACCAAAUUUCAAGUUUGGAGCGACUAUUUCACUGUUUAUGGAUGUUUAUGUCUAAUGCUCUUGGCCUAUUAGCUCUCAGGCAGAAAGGCUUCUGGAGGUGCCCUAAAUUAUACACUACAUCUUACAUAGUGCACAACUCAUGACCAAAACCCUUUGGGCCUUGCUCAGAAGUGAUAUGCUUAAUGACUAGUGUGCAAUUUAGGACGAAUUCUUGGUUUAUAUCCUGCAGGUGGCGCUGGUUAGCUGGAGUCAUGAGAUCUCUCUGCCUUGGCCCCAAGGUGAGAUUGGAGAUCAGGUCAGGCAAAUCCUGCUUGAAGGGAAGGCAUUCUCAUAAUGUCUGUGUUUGACAUUUUUUUGGCUUUUGUUCAUCCAGUAAAGUGACACAAAAGAGACAACAAAGAGACAGAGAGAUAUUCUGUUUGGAUUGCAAGCUUGAAAAAUGAAAGGAUUUGCCAAUCCAGUGAAUAGUGAAGGUGAGCUAUGGGACUGUGCAUCCUGAGUCCCUGGGUCGAGACCUAAACCCAAAACGUAAAGAUUUCUGAAUGUCUGGAAUAACGUUCCUGAGAGCUGCAUGGAACUAAAUUCCUGCACAUUUCCUGCUAUUCCCCAAGUGUUGCUCUGGUCCUGGCCAUGUUAAUUUGUUAUCUGACUAGGAGACUAUAUUAUACUUUAUAUAUCUAUAUUUUACCAAACCUAUGUUCAGUAGGUAUAUUUAAAACCAAUAUUGAAUAUAGUAAAACAAUACUUAUUGCAACAAAUGUAUAGUUAUAAAUACAUGCAUUUCCGGUCAGGCAUUUGCUGGGGUUCUAUUAGAUUGGUUCUGUUAAAAAGUGGAACUGUAUUAGAGGACAAUCUGGUUGGGAACCACGUGUUUGCUUGAGUCACUUUGGCGUCCAUUCAUCAUAGAAUGUAAAUGGCGCUGAUAUGUUAACUUCCCAUUGGACGAAGCAAACAGCUGGACUGUGUCCAUGGUUACAGGAGAAUAUAGUAUAGACAUGGGAUGUGGUGGAGUGUUUAUUGCAUGAUUUACUAUUACCCCUUCCUCUGAAAUGUCUUAAAUGACAUGAGAGGAUUCUCCAUCCAGCCCUGUUCGCGUUUAAAAACAGACAGAGACACAAGUAUGUGGCUAUGGGCACCCUAUUCUAUACACCAGGCUCUGUUCAAAAUAGUGCACCAUAUAGAGAAUAGCAUGUCAUUUGGUGCACUGCUGGUAUGAGGUCAGGGAGGAAUUAUUUAUUCAGCCUAAAUCAGUGGGAGGGUUUCCUCUUAAGACUGGGCUUUCCGUUUCUGUUCUGGGUAUGUUCUUGUUCUCCUGUAGAAAGAUGUGUGCUCCUGUUGUUACAGUAUUUUAUGGGAGAUUAUGUCAUCCUUUCAGAAUGCUUUAAUAUUCCUAAACAGGAAAAUGUAAUGGAGUAGUGUAUCAAUUAAGUAUAAAGACAAGACGUUUUGUGUUACAUUUGUUUUAUUUCACCCAGCUGUGGAAAUAAAGUUAAAUUCAAG